This 713-nucleotide long non-coding RNA is filed under the name Homo sapiens (human). RNAcentral describes it as "non-protein coding lnc-SMOC2-8:8". Lineage: Eukaryota; Metazoa; Chordata; Mammalia; Primates; Hominidae. The record is from RNAcentral.
ACAGAGGACAGCCCCUGAAGGCAUAAGCAGGAAGGGCAUAAUGCUUUCCAAAAGAGAAAACUACAUGGACUUUACUGACUCAUCACUGAGUUCUGAGAUCACUGACACUUACACAUGUGUCCACGCUGUUGUGAGUCAUGGGGAAAAAUGGAGGAGCAAAAUGACCAAGUGGCAGGGUCUGUAAGAGUCUCUCACUGUAGGGAUGGGCUGCCCUGAGGAGACACUGCCCAGGCCUGGGUGCCCCGGGCCAAAGUCCUGACCCUUGCAGGGCUGUGUCCUGUGGAUGACAUGUGGCACUGGACUGCUCACUGACAGGUCUCACAUACAGGUCAUGCUGAUGCAAGAGGGAGGUUCCCAUGGUCUUGGGCAGCUCUGCCCCUGUGGCUUUGCAGGAUACAGCCUCCUUCCAGCUGCUUUCAUGGUCUGGCAUUGAGUGACUGUGGCUUUUCCAGGCUCACGGUGCAAGCUGCCAGUGGAUCUACCAUUCUGGGGUUGGAAGAUGGUGGCCCUCUUCUCACUGCUCCACCAGGAAGUGCCCCAGUGGGGACUCUAUGUGGGGGCUCUGACCCCACAUUUCCCUUCUGCACUGCCCUGGCAGAGGUUCUCCAUGAGGGCCCCGCCCCUACAGCAACGUUUUGCAUGGGCAUCCAGGCAUUUCCAUAUGUCUUCUGAAAUCCAGGUGGAGGUUCCCAAACCUCAGUUCUUGACUUCUG